This 63-nucleotide transfer RNA is filed under the name Nectonemertes cf. mirabilis HC-2011. RNAcentral's name for it is "tRNA-Gly". Lineage: Eukaryota; Metazoa; Nemertea; Enopla; Monostilifera; Nectonemertidae. The record is from RNAcentral.
GCUUUUUUAGUAUAAGUGAGUAUGUUUAUUUUCCAAAUAAGAGGUUUAGAAUUAAAGGAAGUA